Molecule: ribosomal RNA, 288 nt
Filed under: uncultured bacterium
Lineage: Bacteria
Description: partial 16S ribosomal RNA
Rfam family: Bacterial small subunit ribosomal RNA
Source: RNAcentral
CGGCCAGGGAUGUGCUCGCGGCCUAUCAGCUUGUUGGUGGGGUAAUGGCCUACCAAGGCUUCGACGGGUAGCCGGCCUGAGAGGGUGACCGGCCACACUGGGACUGAGACACGGCCCAGACUCCUACGGGAGGCAGCAGUGGGGAAUAUUGGACAAUGGGCGGAAGCCUGAUCCAGCAACGCCGCGUGAGGGAUGACGGCCUUCGGGUUGUAAACCUCUUUCAGUACCGACGAAGCGCCGAUGAUGGUGGUGACGGUAGGUACAGAAGAAGCACCGGCCAACUACGUG